AUUGGUCAGUUGGCAAGAUGUCGGCAUAGCUAGAUAUUUAAAAAUUUUCCAAACCCGCUAUGCUGCAUCUAGUCAAUUAUUU
RNAcentral lists this microRNA precursor (82 nucleotides) under Cochliomyia macellaria (secondary screw-worm). RNAcentral's name for it is "precursor cma-mir-31a". It matches the Rfam family "mir-31 microRNA precursor family". The record is from RNAcentral. Lineage: Eukaryota; Metazoa; Arthropoda; Insecta; Diptera; Calliphoridae. RNAcentral also lists the same sequence under 1 other name.